GUGGGGAAUCUUAGACAAUGGGGGAAACCCUGAUCUAGCCAUGCCGCGUGAGCGAUGAAGGCCUUAGGGUUGUAAAGCUCUUUCAGCUGGGAAGAUAAUGACGGUACCAGCAGAAGAAGCCCCGGCUAACUCCGUGCCAGCAGCCGCGGUAAUACGGAGGGGGCUAGCGUUGUUCGGAAUUACUGGGCGUAAAGCGCACGUAGGCGGAUCAGAAAGUCAGAGGUGAAAUCCCAGGGCUCAACCUUGGAACUGCCUUUGAAACUCCUGGUCUUGAGGUCGAGAGAGGUGAGGGGAAUUCCGAGUGUAGAGGUGAAAUUCGUAGAUAUUCGGAGGAACACCAGUGGCGAAGGCGGCUCACUGGCACGAUACUGACUCUGAGGUGCGAAAGCGUGGGGAGCAAACAGGAUUAGAUACCCCGGUAGUCC
This 425-nucleotide ribosomal RNA is filed under the name uncultured bacterium. RNAcentral describes it as "partial 16S ribosomal RNA". It matches the Rfam family "Bacterial small subunit ribosomal RNA", at positions 354 to 796 of the family's 1533-position model. The record is from RNAcentral.